GACGAACGCUGGCGGCGUGCCUAAUACAUGCCAGUCGAGCGCUGAAGGUUGGUACUUGUACCAACUGGAUGAGCAGCGAACGGGUGAGUAACGCGUGGGGAAUCUGCCUUUGAGCGGGGGACAACAUUUGGAAACGAAUGCUAAUACCGCAUAAAAACUUUAAACACAAGUUUUAAGUUUGAAAGAUGCAAUUGCAUCACUCAAAGAUGAUCCCGCGUUGUAUUAGCUAGUUGGUGAGGUAAAGGCUCACCAAGGCGAUGAUACAUAGCCGACCUGAGAGGGGGGUCGGCCACAUUGGGACUGAGACACGGCCCAAACUCCUACGGGAGGCAGCAGUAGGGAAUCUUCGGCAAUGGACGGAAGUCUGACCGAGCAACGCCGCGUGAGUGAAGAAGGGUCUCGGAUCGGAAAACUCUGUUGGUAGGGAAGAACGUUGGUGGGAGUGGAAAGCUCAUCAAGUGACGGUAACUACCCAGAAAGGGACGGCUAACUACGUG
This 497-nucleotide ribosomal RNA is filed under the name uncultured bacterium. Its description in RNAcentral is "partial 16S ribosomal RNA". It matches the Rfam family "Bacterial small subunit ribosomal RNA", at positions 28 to 507 of the family's 1533-position model. The record is from RNAcentral.